This 587-nucleotide ribosomal RNA is filed under the name uncultured bacterium. RNAcentral describes it as "partial 16S ribosomal RNA". It matches the Rfam family "Bacterial small subunit ribosomal RNA", at positions 355 to 1375 of the family's 1533-position model. The record is from RNAcentral.
UGGGGAAUUUUGGACAAUGGGCGAAAGCCUGAUCCAGCAAUGCCGCGUGUGUGAAGAAGGCCUUCGGGUUGUAAAGCACUUUUGUCCGGAAAGAAAUCCUUGGCUCUAAUACAGUCGGGGGAUGACGGUACCGGAAGAAUAAGCACCGGCUAACUACGUGCCAGCAGCCGCGGUAAUACGUAGGGUGCAAGCGUUAAUCGGAAUUACUGGGCGUAAAGCGUGCGCAGGCGGUUUGCUAAGACCGAUGUGAAAUCCCCGGGCUCAACCUGGGAACUGCAUUGGUGACUGGCAGGCUAGAGUAUGGCAGAGGGGGGUAGAAUUCCACGUGUAGCAGUGAAAUGCGUAGAGAUGUGGAGGAAUACCGAUGGCGAAGGCAGCCCCCUGGGCCAAUACUGACGCUCAUGCACGAAAAGCGUGGGGAGCAAACAGGAUUAGAUACCCUGGUAGUCCACGCCCUAAAACGAUGUCAACUAGUUGUUGGGGAUUCAUUUCCUUAGUAACGUAGCUAACGCGUGAAGUUGACCGCCUGGGGAGUACGGUCGCAAGAUUAAAACUUAAAGGAAUUGACGGGGUCAUAGCUGUUUCCU